Molecule: ribosomal RNA, 253 nt
Filed under: uncultured Simplicispira sp.
Lineage: Bacteria; Pseudomonadati; Pseudomonadota; Betaproteobacteria; Burkholderiales; Comamonadaceae
Description: partial 16S ribosomal RNA
Rfam family: Bacterial small subunit ribosomal RNA
Source: RNAcentral
UACAGAGGGGGCAAGCGUUAUUCGGAAUUACUGGGCGUAAAGCGUGCGCAGGCGGUUAUAUAAGACAGAUGUGAAAUCCCCGGGCUCAACCUGGGAACUGCAUUAGUGACUGUAUAGCUAGAGUGCGGCAGAGGGGGAUGGAAUUCCGCGUGUAGCAGUGAAAUGCGUAGAUAUGCGGAGGAACACCGAUGGCGAAGGCAAUCCCCUGGGCCUGCACUGACGCUCAUGCACGAAAGCGUGGGGAGCAAACAGG